This 30-nucleotide non-coding RNA is filed under the name Mus musculus (house mouse). The record is from RNAcentral. Lineage: Eukaryota; Metazoa; Chordata; Mammalia; Rodentia; Muridae.
UCCAAGAACCCGCGAGUCUUCUUUGACGUG